Molecule: ribosomal RNA, 253 nt
Filed under: uncultured bacterium
Lineage: Bacteria
Description: partial 16S ribosomal RNA
Rfam family: Bacterial small subunit ribosomal RNA
Source: RNAcentral
UACGUAGGGUGCAAGCGUUGUCCGGAAUUAUUGGGCGUAAAGCGCGUGUAGGCGGCCCGAUUAGUCCGCUGUGAAAGUCCAGGGCUCAACCCUGGAAUGCCGGUGGAUACUGUCGGGCUAGAGUCCGGAAGGGGCGAGUGGAAUUCCUGGUGUAGCGGUGAAAUGCGCAGAUAUCAGGAGGAACACCGAUGGCGAAGGCAGCUCGCUGGGACGUGACUGACGCUGAGACGCGAAAGCGUGGGGAGCAAACAGG